Ipomoea triloba (trilobed morning glory) is the source of this 741-nucleotide long non-coding RNA. RefSeq lists it as uncharacterized. The transcript is spliced from 2 exons. The record is from RefSeq and is a predicted model, not a curated record. NCBI's taxonomy places the organism in Eukaryota, Viridiplantae, Streptophyta, Magnoliopsida, Solanales, Convolvulaceae.
CAUGGUCUGAUUAAUCGGCAAGGCGAUCUGGUGAUGUCCAUCUUUCCAUUUCCUAGGAUUCCCUCUGAAACGCUGUCAUUUUCCAUCUCUCCUCGUCGCUGCUUCCACGCAUGUCAAAGAAGAAUGAUUUAGGAAUGACCCAUUUUCAGAUUUUGAGAAAGAGAUAUAGGGUAGUAGUGUGGAGAUAAUAGUGUAUAGAACAAUAAUAAGUAUGAUGGUGGGGAUGGUGAUUAGCGUGCAACGCUUGAUGGACUUGAUGGUCGCCGGAUUCUCUCUGGUGAUCGUGCUUUGGAUUUUCGCCUUCAUUGCUUCGAUUCUCUGCUGUAUUGCUUUCUUCCAAAAUGCCAAGGAAUUUUCCUGAUUCGACGUGACCCAAUUGCCCUAAAUACGGAUUUUGCUAGGUUAGAGUAAAUAGGAAAAGAAAAACCCAAAAACAUGAAGCAUCAAACAUCAAACAUUCAGUUGAAUAACAUGCCAAGUUGAGAACUUCACAGUUUGGGCAUGGAGUCCCAUCACUUCUGUUACUUAUUUGUUGUUUGUACUUGAAGCAUUCUUGUAUUUGUAGAUAAUCUUCUUGAAAAUUAGAGCAGAAUGUUUUUUCAUAGAUGAAUUAUUAUGGAUCUGUUGAAUAUUAGAUCCUCAAAAAUGUCAAGGACUUUUUAGUUCAAUGUUAUUCGUGUAAAUUGUCUUGGAUUUAUUCUCAUCCCGUUAAGUAUCAUUUAAAUUGCAGUGUCUCUGCUA